UUUGAAAUCUGGCGUCUUUGGCGUCCGAGUUGUAAUUUGAAGAAGGUAUCUUUGGGCCCGGCUCUUGUCUAUGUUCCUUGGAACAGGACGUCACAGAGGGUGAGAAUCCCGUGCGAUGAGAUGACCCGGGUCUGUGUAAAGUUCCUUCGACGAGUCGAGUUGUUUGGGAAUGCAGCUCUAAGUGGGUGGUAAAUUCCAUCUAAAGCUAAAUAUUGGCGAGAGACCGAUAGCGAACAAGUACAGUGAUGGAAAGAUGAAAAGAACUUUGAAAAGAGAGUGAAAAAGUACGUGAAAUUGUUGAAAGGGAAGGGCUUGAGAUCAGACUUGGUAUUUUGCAUGCUGCUCUCUCGGGGGCGGCCGCUGCGGUUUACCGGGCCAGCAUCGGUUUGGAGCGGCAGGAUAAUGGCGGAGGAAUGUGGCACGGCUUCUGCUGUGUGUUAUAGCCUCUGACGAUACUGCCAGCCUAGACCGAGGACUGCGGUUUUUAACCUAGGAUGUUGGCAUAAUGAUCUUAAGUCGCCCGUCUUGAAACACGGACCAAGGAGUCUAACGUCUAUGCGAGUGUUUGGGUGUAAAACCCGUACGCGUAAUGAAAGUGAACGAAGGUGGGGGCCCAUUAGGGUGCACCAUCGACCGAUCCUGAUGUGUUCGGAUGGAUUUGAGUAAGAGCAUAGCUGUUGGGACCCGAAAGAUGGUGAACUAUGCCUGAAUAGGGUGAAGCCAGAGGAAACUCUGGUGGAGGCUCGUAGCGGUUCUGACGU
This 761-nucleotide ribosomal RNA is filed under the name Candida albicans. Its description in RNAcentral is "eukaryotic LSU rRNA". It matches the Rfam family "Eukaryotic large subunit ribosomal RNA", at positions 114 to 892 of the family's 3401-position model. The record is from RNAcentral. Lineage: Eukaryota; Fungi; Ascomycota; Pichiomycetes; Serinales; Debaryomycetaceae.